UACGGAGGAUCCAAGCGUUAUCCGGAAUCAUUGGGUUUAAAGGGUCCGUAGGCGGUUUAAUAAGUCAGUGGUGAAAGCCCAUCGCUCAACGGUGGAACGGCCAUUGAUACUGUUAAACUUGAAUUAUUAGGAAGUAACUAGAAUAUGUAGUGUAGCGGUGAAAUGCUUAGAGAUUACAUGGAAUACCAAUUGCGAAGGCAGCUUACUACGCCUAUAUUGACGCUGAGGCACGAAAGCGUGGGGAUCAAACAGG
RNAcentral lists this ribosomal RNA (253 nucleotides) under uncultured bacterium. Its description in RNAcentral is "partial 16S ribosomal RNA". It matches the Rfam family "Bacterial small subunit ribosomal RNA", at positions 524 to 776 of the family's 1533-position model. The record is from RNAcentral.